CAGCCGCCGCGGUAAUACGGGGGAUGCAAGUGUUAUCCGGAAUUACUGGGCGUAAAGCGUCUGUAGGUUGUUUAAUAAGUCAACUGUUAAAUCUUGAGGCUUAACCUCAAAACAGCAGUCGAAACUAUUAGACUAGAGUAUAGUAGGGGUAAAGGGAAUUUCCAGUGGAGCGGUGAAAUGCGUAGAUAUUGGAAAGAACACCGAUGGCGAAAGCACUUUACUGGGCUAUUACUAACACUCAGAGACGAAAGCUAGGGUAGCAAAUGGGAUUAGAUACCCCAGUAGUCCUAGCUGUAAACGAUGGAUACUAGAUGUUGAACAGAUCGACCUGUGCAGUAUUAAAGCUAACGCGUUAAGCAUCCCGCCUGGGAAGUAUGCUCGCAAGAGUGAAACUCAAAGGAAUUGACGG
Molecule: ribosomal RNA, 409 nt
Filed under: uncultured bacterium
Lineage: Bacteria
Description: bacterial SSU rRNA
Rfam family: Bacterial small subunit ribosomal RNA
Source: RNAcentral